This 89-nucleotide transfer RNA is filed under the name Candidatus Phytoplasma rubi. RNAcentral describes it as "tRNA-Ser". It matches the Rfam family "tRNA". From Rfam's summary of the family: Transfer RNA (tRNA) molecules are approximately 80 nucleotides in length. Their secondary structure includes four short double-helical elements and three loops (D, anti-codon, and T loops). The record is from RNAcentral. Lineage: Bacteria; Bacillati; Mycoplasmatota; Mollicutes; Acholeplasmatales; Acholeplasmataceae.
GGAAGAAUACUCAAGUGGUUUAAGAGGCCCGCUUGGAAAGCGUGUAGAUCUAAUUAGAUGCAAGGGUUCGAAUCCCUUUUCUUCCGCCA